UACGUAGGGUGCGAGCGUUGUCCGGAAUUAUUGGGCGUAAAGAGCUUGUAGGCGGUUCGUCGCGUCUGGCGUGAAAGCCCAGGGCUUAACCCUGGGUCUGCGGUGGGUACGGGCAGGCUAGAGUGUGGUAGGGGAGACUGGAAUUCCUGGUGUAGCGGUGAAAUGCGCAGAUAUCAGGAGGAACACCGGUGGCGAAGGCGGGUCUCUGGGCCGAUAUUGACGCUGAGGCGCGAAAGCGUGGGGAGCAAACAGG
RNAcentral lists this ribosomal RNA (253 nucleotides) under uncultured bacterium. RNAcentral's name for it is "partial 16S ribosomal RNA". It matches the Rfam family "Bacterial small subunit ribosomal RNA", at positions 524 to 776 of the family's 1533-position model. The record is from RNAcentral.